RNAcentral lists this ribosomal RNA (207 nucleotides) under uncultured bacterium. RNAcentral describes it as "partial 16S ribosomal RNA". It matches the Rfam family "Bacterial small subunit ribosomal RNA", at positions 568 to 774 of the family's 1533-position model. The record is from RNAcentral.
AGCGUAGGCGGCGCGGUAAGUCAGAUGUGAAAUCCCGGGGCUCAACCCCGGAACUGCAUCCGAUACUGCCGUGCUAGAGGAUUGGAGAGGUAGCUGGAAUUCUUGGUGUAGCAGUGAAAUGCGUGGAUAUCAAGAGGAACACUCGUGGCGAAAGCGAGCUACUGGACAACUCCUGACGCUGAGGCUCGAAGGCCAGGGUAGCGAAAG